GACGAACGCUGGCGGCGUGCUUAACACAUGCAAGUCGAACGCUGAAGCCCUUUCGGGGGUGGAUGAGUGGCGAACGGGUGAGUAACACGUGGGUAAUCUGCCCUGCACUCUGGGAUAAGCCUUGGAAACGGGGUCUAAUACCGGAUAGGACACAUCGCCGCAUGGUGUGUGUGUGGAAAGUUCCGGCGGUGCAGGUUGAGCCCGCGGCCUAUCAGCUUGUUGGUGGGGUGAUGGCCUACCAAGGCGACGACGGGUAGCCGGCCUGUGAGGGUGCGCGGGCACCCUGGGACUGAGACACGGCCCAGACUCCGACGGGAGGCAGCAGUGGGGAAUCUUGCGCAAUGGGCGAAAGCCUGACGCAGCAACGCCGCGUGGGGGAUGACGGCCUUCGGGUUGUAAACCUCUUUCGACCGGGACGAAGGGUGACUGACGGUACCGGUAGAAGAAGCACCGGCUAACUACGUGCCAGCAGCCGCAGUAA
RNAcentral lists this ribosomal RNA (481 nucleotides) under uncultured bacterium. RNAcentral describes it as "partial 16S ribosomal RNA". It matches the Rfam family "Bacterial small subunit ribosomal RNA", at positions 28 to 523 of the family's 1533-position model. The record is from RNAcentral.